AGCGCUGUAGCAAUACAGAGCGGCGCACGGGAGAGUAAUACAUGGGAACCUACCUUUUGGUUCGGAAUAACGUCGGGAAACUGACGCUAAUACCGGAUACGUCCUUCGGGAGAAAGAUUUAUCGCCGAUAGAUGGGCCCAUGUUGGAUUAGCUAGUUGGUGAGGUAAUGGCUCACCAAGGCUACGAUCCAUAGCUGGUCUGAGAGGAUGAUCAGCCUCACUGGGACUGAGACACGGCCCAGACUCCUACGGGAGGCAGCAGUGGGGAAUAUUGGACAAUGGGGGCAACCCUGAUCCAGCCAUGCCGCGUGAAUGAUGAAGGCCUUCGGGUUGUAAAGUUCUUUUGACGGGGACGAUGAUGACGGUACCCGUAGAAUAAGCACCGGCUAACUUCGUGCCAGCAGCCGCGGUAAUACGAAGGGUGCUAGCGUUGUUCGGAAUUACUGGGCGUAAAGGGCGCGUAGGCGGCUUGGCAAGUUGGGUGCGAAAGCCCAGGGCUCAACCCUGGAAUUGCACUCAAGACUGUCUUGCUUGAAUUCGGUAGAGGUUGGUGGAAUUCCCAGUGUAGAGGUGAAAUUCGUAGAGAUUGGGAAGAACACCCGUGGCGAAGGCGGCCAACUGGACCGACAUUGACACUGAGGCGCGAAAGCGU
Molecule: ribosomal RNA, 651 nt
Filed under: uncultured bacterium
Lineage: Bacteria
Description: bacterial SSU rRNA
Rfam family: Bacterial small subunit ribosomal RNA
Source: RNAcentral